Molecule: transfer RNA, 73 nt
Filed under: Mycolicibacterium sp. CBMA 294
Lineage: Bacteria; Bacillati; Actinomycetota; Actinomycetes; Mycobacteriales; Mycobacteriaceae
Also listed under: 5 other names
Description: tRNA-Arg
Rfam family: tRNA
About the family: Transfer RNA (tRNA) molecules are approximately 80 nucleotides in length.
Source: RNAcentral
GCCUCUGUGGCGCAAUGGACAGCGCAUCCGGUUACGAGCCGGAAGGUUGAAGGUUCGAAUCCUUCCAGGGGCG